RNAcentral lists this signal recognition particle RNA (298 nucleotides) under Microtus ochrogaster (prairie vole). RNAcentral describes it as "Metazoan signal recognition particle RNA (ENSMOCG00000011991.1)". It matches the Rfam family "Metazoan signal recognition particle RNA". Rfam says of the family: The signal recognition particle (SRP) is a universally conserved ribonucleoprotein. It is involved in the co-translational targeting of proteins to membranes. The record is from RNAcentral. Lineage: Eukaryota; Metazoa; Chordata; Mammalia; Rodentia; Cricetidae.
GCCGGGCGCGGUGGCGCACGCCUGUAGUCCCAGCUAAUCGGGAGGCUGAGACAGGAGGAUUACUUAAGUCCAGGAGUUCUGGGCUGUAGUGUGCUAUGCCUAUCGGGUGUCCGCACUAAGUUCGGCAUCAAUAUGGUGACCUCCCGGGAGCCGGGGAACACCAGGUUGCCUAAGGAGGGGUGAAUCACCCAGGCCGGAAACGGAGCAGGUCAAGACUCCUGUGCUGAUCAGUAGUGGGAUCGCGCCUGUGAAUAGCCACUGCACUCCAGCCUGGGCAACAUAGCAAAACCCCGUCUCU